RNAcentral lists this ribosomal RNA (975 nucleotides) under Triticum aestivum (bread wheat). RNAcentral's name for it is "partial small subunit ribosomal RNA". Lineage: Eukaryota; Viridiplantae; Streptophyta; Magnoliopsida; Poales; Poaceae. The record is from RNAcentral.
AUGGCAGCGACGCGGCGGGUGCUAGUGCUCUGCCGCCUCUCGCCGGCCUCCCUCGCCGCCCUCGCCGCCCGCUUCAGCCUCCUCGACCGCCACGCCUCGCCGCUCUCGAUGGAAGCCUUCCUCGCCGCCGCGGCCGCCGCCGCCGACCCACCGCGCUUGGCCCUCGUCCCGGGCGGGGGCGUCCGCGUCGAUGCGGCUUUCCUGGACGCCCUACCGUCGCUGCGCUGCGUCGUCACGGUCAGUGCAGGCCUGAACCACAUCGACCUCCCCGAGUGCGCGCGCCGCGGCGUCGCCGUGGCCAACGCGGCCGGGGUCUACUCCUCGGACGUCGCGGACCACGCCGUCGGCCUGCUCAUCGACGUGCUCCGGCGCGUAUCGGUCGCCGACAGGUACGUGCGGCGGGGGCUCUGGCCGGAGCGCGGCGACUUCCUGCCCCUCGGGUCCAGGCUCCGCGGGAAGCGCGUGGGCGUCGUCGGCCUCGGCAGCAUCGGGUCGGCGGUCGCGAGGAGGCUGGAGGCAUUCGGCUGCGUCGUCUCCUACCACUCCCGCCGCCGGAAACACGACGUCUCCUACUGCUACCACCCCGCGGUGCGCGACCUCGCGGCGUGCUCCGACGUGCUCGUCGUCGCGUGCGCGUUGACGGCCGAGACCCAUCACGUCGUCGACAGGCGCGUGCUGGACGAGCUGGGGAGCGGCGGCGUGGUGGUGAACGUGGCGCGCGGCCCGAACGUGGACGAGGCGGAGCUGGUGAGGGCGCUCGCGGAGGGCAGGCUCGCGGGCGCCGGGCUGGACGUGUUCGAGGACGAGCCGGACGUGCCGGCGGAGCUGCUGGCCAUGGACAACGUCGUGCUGACGCCCCACCGGGCCGCGUUCACCCCGGAGUCCAUAGCCGACCUCGACCGCCUCGUUGCCGGCAACCUGGAGGCCUUCUUCGCCGGCGCACCGCUGCUUACGCCCGUCGUCGUCUCCGGCUGA